RNAcentral lists this long non-coding RNA (573 nucleotides) under Brachypodium distachyon (stiff brome). RNAcentral describes it as "long non-coding RNA (BDIS_LNC002380)". Lineage: Eukaryota; Viridiplantae; Streptophyta; Magnoliopsida; Poales; Poaceae. The record is from RNAcentral.
GUUGUUGACUUCUUUGUAUUGUGCUGUUAGCCACUUCCUGAGGAGGAUGAAAAGGAACUUAGGAAGACUUGGGGAAGAAAAGGUGAGUCCUUGAUCAAUCAGUGUUGCCUAUAGCUUAUAAGGUGUCAAGUAAUAUUGGAUAAACUUCCAAUUGUGUUUUCUAUGCAGUUUGACUACCUCAUCAUGGGAAAAGUAAUGACGAAUUUUGGCAGAAGGGAUAUGGUGUGUCAAUCAAUAUUAUUGCAAAGCAUAAAUUGGUGUUCAUGAUAUAUGGUUUGCGCCACUAGAAAGAGAGAAACACAGACAUAAAUGGGCACGCACUCCUCGUCUGAAGGACAACGUGCAGCUGUGACGAAGAAGAUGCAGUACCUAGAUUAUUCCAGGAAAGGGGAAAGUGUCUGAACACUCGACACAUGAAUGUGCCAUCAUUGAGGUGAUCAAACUAGCGUGCCCGGGAGGUGAUCAAACUAGCGUGCCAUGUCGGGCCGGGCCGGCCACAAGGAUGGAUCCAAAUUAAGCCGGCAAGAGAACCUUCACAUUGCACUAGACCACAUUAAUCAUUGUUCAAUCAAA